AUUGAACGCUGGCGGCAUGCCUUACACAUGCAAGUCGAACGGUAGAGGGGGCAACCCCUUGAGAGUGGCGAACGGGUGAGUAAUGCAUCGGAACGUGCCCAGUCGUGGGGGAUAGCCCGGGGAAACCCGGAUUAAUACCGCAUACGACCUGAGGGUGAAUGCGGGGGACCGAAAGGCCUCGCGCGAUUGGAGCGGCCGAUGUCGGAUUAGGUAGUUGGUGGGGUAAAGGCCUACCAAGCCUGCGAUCCGUAGCUGGUCUGAGAGGACGACCAGCCACACUGGGACUGAGACACGGCCCAGACUCCUACGGGAGGCAGCAGUGGGGAAUUUGGGACAAUGGGCGCAAGCCUGAUCCAGCCAUGCCGCGUGCGGGAAGAAGGCCUUCGGGUUGUAAACCGCUUUUGUCAGGGAAGAAAUCUCUUGGGUUAAUACCCUGGGGGGAUGACGGUACCUGAAGAAUAAGCACCGGCUAACUACGUGCCAGCCGCCGCAGUAA
Molecule: ribosomal RNA, 496 nt
Filed under: uncultured bacterium
Lineage: Bacteria
Description: partial 16S ribosomal RNA
Rfam family: Bacterial small subunit ribosomal RNA
Source: RNAcentral